Molecule: ribosomal RNA, 618 nt
Filed under: uncultured bacterium
Lineage: Bacteria
Description: bacterial SSU rRNA
Rfam family: Bacterial small subunit ribosomal RNA
Source: RNAcentral
AUUGAACGCUGGCGGCAUGCUUUACACACGCAAGUCGAACGGUAACAGGUCUUCGGAUGCUGACGAGUGGCGAACGGGUGAGUAAUGCAUCGGAACGUGCCCAGUCGUGGGGGAUAACGCAGCGAAAGCUGUGCUAAUACCGCAUACGAUCUAUGGAUGAGAGCGGGGGACUCGCAAGAGCCUCGCGCGAUUGGAGCGGCCGAUGUCAGAUUAGGUAGUUGGUGGGGUAAAGGCUCACCAAGCCAACGAUCUGUAGCUGGUCUGAGAGGACGACCAGCCACACUGGAACUGAGACACGGUCCAGACUCCUACGGGAGGCAGCAGUGGGGAAUUUUGGACAAUGGGCGCAAGCCUGAUCCAGCAAUGCCGCGUGCAGGAAGAAGGCCUUCGGGUUGUAAACUGCUUUUGUACGGAACGAAACGGUCCUGGUUAAUACCUGGGGCUAAUGACGGUACCGUAAGAAUAAGCACCGGCUAACUACGUGCCAGCAGCCGCGGUAAUACGUAGGGUGCAAGCGUUAAUCGGAAUUACUGGGCGUAAAGCGUGCGCAGGCGGUUUUGUAAGACAGUCGUGAAAUCCCCGGGCUCAACCUGGGAAUUGCGAUUGUGACUGCAAAGC